This 459-nucleotide ribosomal RNA is filed under the name uncultured bacterium. Its description in RNAcentral is "bacterial SSU rRNA". It matches the Rfam family "Bacterial small subunit ribosomal RNA", at positions 340 to 786 of the family's 1533-position model. The record is from RNAcentral.
UACGGAAGGCAGCAGUGGGGAAUAUUGCACAAUGGGCGAAAGCCUGAUGCAGCUAUGCCGCGUGUAUGAAGAAGGCCUUAGGGUUGUAAAGUACUUUCAUCGGGGAGGAAAAACAAAACUAAUAAUUUUAUUUCUUGACGUUACCCGAAAAAGAAGCACCGGCUAACUCCGUGCCAGCAGCCGCGGUAAUACGGAGGGUGCUAGCGUUAAUCAGAAUUACUGGGCGUAAAGAGCACGUAGGUGGUUUUUUUAAGUCAGAUGUGAAAUCCCUGGGCUUAACCUAGGAACUGCAUUUUGAAAACUGAAAUACUAGAGUAUCGUAGAGGGAGGUAGAAUUCUAGGUGUAGCGGUGAAAUGCGUAGAUAUCUGGAGGAAUACCUGUGGCGAAAGCGGCCUCCUAAAACGAAAUACUGACACUGAGGUGCGAAAAGCGUGGGGAGCAAAACAGGAUUAGAUACC